This is a non-coding RNA of Felis catus (domestic cat), 85 nucleotides long. NCBI's taxonomy places the organism in Eukaryota, Metazoa, Chordata, Mammalia, Carnivora, Felidae. The record is from Rfam.
GCCUGGGUGGCUCGGUCGGUUAAGCGUCUGACUUCGGCUCAGGUCAUGAUCUCACGGUCUGUGGGUUCAAGCCCCGCGUCGGGCU